GCGGUGUUGCUGUUUGGGGGUAUUGGUUGUAAGAAGCUGUGGCUCAGUCUGUUAUGAACUUGGCUGAGCUAAACCAUUCUUUGCACUCUCCUCUGGAAUCUUUUAUAGCGGUGGUUCUUAAAGGGCUGAGAAGGUCCUUGGCAAUUAAAGGCUCUCAUCUUGAAGAUGAUAGUGGAGUGGUUGUAGUCUCUGGACUCUGUGGCACCCCCUCCUAGUGUUGCUAUUCCUUAUGAGAAAAGCAGGCUGUUCGACCAGUGUGAUGGAGCUAUCCAAGUAGAGCUGAACCUGGAUGGGAUAAGCUGUCUUAUGGGAAAGGAUGUUGGGCCUGAUUCUCUGCUGUCUCACAACUUUUUGUGAGUGAAAAAGGGAUGUGAAAUACUAAGUCAAUGAUUCCUACUGGGGCAGAGGAACAGCAGUAUACAGUGCCCAGAGGAAAGCUUAGGUGGGAGCUAUAGUUCUUCUGUACAGAUGGGUCUUCAGACUGGUAUUUCUUCACCCUUUCCAAGCCAUGGUACCAGAAUUACAGAUCCUGGGCUGUUUUCUGGGCAUUAGUGAACUCCCAUAGAAGGAUUUUUCUGUCAGAAAACUCCUGUAGCCUGGUGAUGACAACCCACUCCUGCUCUUCUCCUACCUGACAAAGAAUUGAGAAGUUUUCAGAAGCUGUUUAAGUUUUGUGUCUACCAAGAACUCUAAGCACAAAAUGCCAGUGCACGUGGCUUUCCAUGAAGUGCUUGCCUUUCCUGCAGGAACAGCAGCUUGGCAGCAGGUGUUCUGGGUCUGCACAGUCAUCAGACAAAUGAAUAACCAGUGUAACCUUGGCUUUGAAGAUUUUUGUGUUUACCAAGAUGUCAUCUUUUUAUCUGCAAAAAGGGAGGAGGUUCCUGAGGGGGCUGUUUCCUUCCACUUUCUGCAGCUGGCACUGUCUGAUGUAGUGUGUGUUCGCAUAUCUCAUGCGCAUCCCCUUUCACCUGUCAGUUGGGAUCAUAUAUCCAUGCCCUGGUGAGUGAGCUGUGGGAUGGCAGUCACUGUGCUCUGGGACAGUCUUGCUUCCAGCUCAGGCAUCUUGGAAACACAGAUCUGCAGCACUUUGCUCUGCUGGGUCUUCUCUCUUUUUUUUUUUUUUUUUUAAGUCCUCAGAAGCACAAGAACUGUCUUCAGGCCCACACAGGAUCAGAUGGGUUUUUCUUGUGAGGUCAGCAGUGUGAAGAUAGAUGUGAAACUGUGCACUUUUCUUGUCUGCCUUGACAAAGACAGCUCCAUGAAAAAGUGUUGCACUCCCCGGAAGUAGGAGAUGGGAAAAAUGGGAAAAGAAAAGAGAUUUGUCCAAUCUUUUCCAGUAAAUCAUUGGAAGAAUUGGAUAAGUCUUCAUCCCUGAGCCCUUGCAUUUUCUGUUCAGUACUGUUAAGUGAAGUAGCUGGAAUGUGUGAAGAAAGAAGCUUGACCCCAUGUCAGAGCUGAUCCAGGCCAGAAGUAUCCCUGUUUUUUCUCUGACAGAGUUAAUGGUUCCUGAUCCCCUGGGCUGGCUGCUUGCCUAAGCAGCUCUGUGGUGCUACAGUGUGGGUCCCGUUCUUCCUGAGAGGCCUGGUGCUAAAUAAUUCUGUCUUGAAAGGAGAAAACAAAACUAGUAGGGAUGUUUCAGCAGAGAAGUGUGCUUCUCUGCUGUGCUUGCAUUUGAGUUCACAUUGGAAGUCCUAGUUGGAAUUUCUACACCUGUGUGUGAUCUGUCUGGAUCACUUCCCUUUCCUGACAAAGGAAAGGCAACAUUGCCCUGCUGCUUGUGAAGCACUCUCCUGGCAGCCCCAUGCCUGUUCAAUUUGCGCAAGUCCAAACUAGCUAUAGGAAGAGAGGUGUGUGCUAAGCUUGCUGCUCACUACCCUGCGCUGAGGGCAAGGUCUGGAUCUCCAGGAACUGUGGGGAACUACAACCUUCGGGUAUAUUUCUUCUGUGACACAGACCAAGGCUUACUGAAGAUUCCUAGUUUCAAGGUUUAGCAGGAGCUGCCAUUUCACACUGCCAGCCAGGAGUCUGCAUAUAUGCAAUAUAAUUAACACCAGAAAUUCUGACUCCUGAGGCUAUAGGGUUAAACAAAUGUGUCCCCAUUAAACUUGAAUAAUAAGAGGUUAACUCAUUAGGAAAAGAGCACUCUUGAUGUGCUUAAUGGAGGAAGAGAACGUUAACUCUUACAAUUCCUUGCCAACACUCACAUUAGUUUAACUUUCCUUUGAGUGUUUUCUUCUAUAGAAUACUUUACAAAAUCCCCCAAAUGAUCUCCUGUGUGUUUUGUAUGAAUCAUCUUUGAUUUCCUGAUUAUUGGUCUGCUUGUCUCCUUUGGAGUCUUUAAAAAUGUCUUGCUGUAUUGAUGGUUAUUUGUAGUUUUAAAAAUAACAUGCAAUGCAGAACUCCUGCAGAGCAAAGGUAAAUCCUGAAAACUGCUCAUUUGAAUGUCCAGUAGCAAAAACUUGCAUGCCUGUGUCUUUCCUGUUUUAUUCUCGCAUUCCUUGAAAAAAUAUAAUAUGAGGAAAGACUUGGAGGUCCUAAGUCAUAAGCAAAUGGUCUGCAAAUUAACAUUUUUCGUCAGUGAUUCUUUUAAUUAUAAAAGCGCACAAAAAAAAUUAAAGACCUAAUACUUGCCAUUCCAAAACCAGUUAAUUUCUAACAGGUGUACCUUGCUCAUAAACCUCUGCUUGCAGUUAUUUUGGGCAAAAGGGCUUACUGGAUGUGCUCAUCCCUGGCUGGUCAUAGAGUUCAAGGCUCACUGACACUCAUCACUGUAGAAUGGAUUUACCUGGGUUCGGCAAAAGAUGCCAAAUUCCAAGGAAAACAGAUGCUGUAUACAAAAGUGAAUACAGUCAAGGCAGAAGAUUGCAAGUCUAACAGUUCUCUGUGACUCUGGCAUUAGUGAACCCUAUGCUUGUGGCUGCAGAAUGCCUUUGGUGUUUCCCAAAUGCUGUUCUCUACAGAAGAGAGCAUGCAUUCUUGCAUGAAAAUACAAAUCUGGUGGAGCCGGUUACUCUUUACCCUGGACAGUGAUGGAAGUAAGUAAAUUUAAUCUCCUACAGCCAUUUUGUCCUGCUCUUCAUUGCUGAGCACUGUUGUACACAUUUGGGUGCUGUUGCCCAGCAGAAGCGUCUCUGGGAAGUGGGAGAUGUAGCCCUCAUGUCUGGGAGAUUCUACUGGAGAGACUAUCCUGUUUUCAGGCACCCUCAAGUGUAGGAGUUCUUUUAAAUGGGGUGAAUCCAGUUCCUUUGGAACUUCUGACACUAUGAAGACAAUAACCCUAUCGCAGGUCAUGCUUCUGCCACGGAAUGAUUAAUCUAAGCUUUUGCUCAGUAUGGUAUAUGAUUACACUAUUAAUUUUUGCAGUUUGGUCCAAUCAAGGAGGAAAAACGAUUAUUUACACAGUUUUUCUAGAACUUGAGACUUUUUUCUGAGAUUACGCCUUGAAAGAACAGAACAGAUUUAACCAAAUGAUCAAUUUUUAGUAAGGUGAGAGCAGAGAUCGAUUCCUCCGUAAACAAAUAGGAUAAGUAAACAAAUAGUGAAAGCUUUCUGCAUUGUUACUUGCAUUCUGGGUCUUCCACAGCAAACAUUUGGAUAUCUUUGGCCAUGUACUCUUUAGACUUGCUAGUCAUUAAAAAUAAAUCUAGGGAGGGUUUUAAGUUGAAGGCCUGUGGAGGGAGAAGGAGAACCCCAGCUAUCCUUGACAUUUGAUGAAUCACUCUAGAAAUGAGAUUUGCUUAUGGAACAGCUACACGUUUGAAGCAGCUUUAGCUGGGAACAGCUCCAGUCGUGAGUGGAAAAGACCAAGAGUAACCUCAGACUACAUCAUAAUGUUUUUCAAGGCAGAAAUAAUUUAUAAUGCAUGCAGCUGUGUAAGCUCAGCAGAAUCAAUUAUGGAACAUUUUAUUUUGUGGAUCACCUGAGAAUAACCUAUCUUCCCGAAGCCUGUGGAGAAGAGAUACAAGAAGUCUGGUAAACGCUUUCAAGCAAGGAUGUUUCCAACAGCAAAUAGUAAACCAGUGAUGUCAGCCAAAGACAGGAAAUCAACAUUUUGGCUUGUGCAUCCUCCAUGGCUGUGCCUCUUUCCUGUAUGUGGGAGCGUGCAUGUAUCUGGAACCUUAUAAAUAAUCACACCAAUGUGUUCUGUGUGCUGUAGAGGCUGUCUUAGAGCGACUGGCUUCUGGGAUGUGUAGGUUCUUAGCAUAAACACAUGUUUUUCAGAAAACUAAAGAACCUGUUUUUGGUGAUGUCCCACAAAAUGAGUCUGGAAAUCCAAGCUGUUCCAUAUGCUGCAGCAAGGUGGAGGAAAUAGCACCUUUUUUUUUAAAGUAACAUUUUUGUUGAGUUUACUGUCUGUUAUAUGGGCAAAUUAAUCUCCACAUUUUUGUCAGGUGUUUCAUACAAGACUUCUGUUGCAGCAGCUGAAGCAUUUAGAUUUUUGUCUUUAUUUUUUUGGCCUGGUUUCCACUUUAACAAAUUCACAGCUUGUAAGCUAUUGCUGGAAGAUUCAAAUGUGCAAACCAUUAAGCAAGCUCUAAGCAAGCCAUUCUUUCAGCUUGUGUCCUGUCUUUGCUACUAAUAGUGUGUAACAUCUGACAACAGUGAUGCCUGGAGCACCAGCUCCUGUUGAGACCCAUUGUAGUAGGUGCCAUGCAGGUGGGAGGGGGAAUUUCUGCCUUCUGGGGUCUUGAGUGGGAAUGAAGUGAGAUGGGCUGGGGGAAAUCACCAUGGAGGGGAAAGAGAAGAAAUGACUUGGUCACACAGCAGAUCAGAGACAGAACAGGGAGUAGAAUUAGGUCUCUGAUAGGAUAUUUAGUUGCAUCUAAACUCAUUUUUCAUAGUGCCUUGAGGCAGACUAGGUGACUACUUACAGUACUUUUUUGUCCCAUUUUAUUAUGAGCCUGUGGAUGGAAUUAGCUGGUAUCUGCUAAUUGGUGAGUGCAGACAAGGACAAGUCCCAGUCAGGCUCACCUCAGCUUUCCUCGGGUAAACUUAAUGCUGACCAUGACUCUUCCUUGUUUCCGCUGUCCACUCAGAUGUGGUGCCAAUCUUGAUCAACUUGGUAGUUUUGAAAACUGAGUUCCGUUAAUUUCAUCAUAGAGACAAGCCCUCUGGCCAUGCAAGUUUGCAGGAAGAAUCACAGAAAAUAGGCUUGGAUAACUACCUGCAUUUCUCUGGAGUCAUUGAAAUCAUAUCCAUUAAUUCAUAACCUGAAAAUACAAAUGUAAAGAUGAUAGACAUGGUAAAAGAAUUUGAGCUACUGUUUAUCAGAAUGCUAUGAUGAAACUGCUGUAAGUGGAAAUGCCGAGUUCUUGAUAUGAAACAGUCUCUUCUAAAAAUCCAACACAUUAAUAAUGAUAAACAGAUCUUCCACUGGAUAUUGAUUUAAGGGGAAAAAAGAUGGAUUAAUACAAGCAUUCAUCUUCACUGUCAAUUUAAUAUCAAGAUAAUUUUAUUUGAUAGUUCAAUGUAAUAAACUCCCCUUUUCCUUAAUACAUAUUUGGGAAAAGCAGGCAAUAUUGUAAUACAGUAAUUAGCCAUAUUUGCCUUUACUAUGUGUGAAUAAGAUUAAUAUACUAGAGUGUUCAACCUAAUUGAUCUAUUAUGUGAUAGGGACUUGCAACCAGACUGCAAAUUACAGUUUAACCCCCCAAAGGGCUAGACUUGUUUAGAAAAUGUGCGAGUCUUUAAGAGAUAAAAUUAAUAGAACUGACGUUGACCUAAAUAUUCAGUGUUAUUAAUUGUAUCAGUGGAUUGUGCUGCUUUUAUGUGCAACUAGGAAGGCAGUGUGUCUAGAAAAGAAGCAGGUUUAUGACAGCAGUGGGAAGGGUGGCUAACAGAAAACAUGACAAUUAUUGCAAACCAGGUUUCCUGGUUAAAAAAGUGAUUGUCACAGGCCCUUAAAAUUGCUAUUCCAUGUGGUUGUGAUUAAACAAAUCAUCCGUGCAGUGUGUUUGGAACAUAAUGGCUCUGUGGGAAAAAAAAUGUAAAUCAGGUUUUUGUAUUAAUGAAAACGGUUUAAUAUGGUUUUAAUGACCCAUUUUUCAGUCUUCACCAGAAAGUAAUUACCAGUUAGAUAGUUAGUGCUCUGGGCUUUGUUCUGGCUCUCAGAACUCCUUCAGCCAGUCACCCGGG
Molecule: long non-coding RNA, 6135 nt
Organism: Cygnus olor (mute swan)
Lineage: Eukaryota; Metazoa; Chordata; Aves; Anseriformes; Anatidae
Exons: 3
Source: RefSeq, a predicted model, not a curated record